Molecule: RNA transcript, 2844 nt
Organism: Cucumis sativus (cucumber)
Lineage: Eukaryota; Viridiplantae; Streptophyta; Magnoliopsida; Cucurbitales; Cucurbitaceae
Exons: 5
Source: RefSeq, a predicted model, not a curated record
GAGAAACUCUCACUCUCUUUCGUUGUCUUGCAAAUAAUUGGUUAGAGCUAGUCGGAACAUUGUUGGUGAAAACUCCAUGGUUGUGAAGAAGAAGGAAGAAAUGGGGGCAGAGCUUUUUGAACAACUGAGUAUGUGAAGGAGGAAGAGAAGAGAAGAGAAGAGAAAAGAAAAGAAAGGGCAAAUGUGUAAAUUCACGUGCUUGUGCACAUUAGCAAAAACUUAUUAGAGAUUUUAGUUUGAAAAGCGGAGUCAUUUGGCAUAUGGAGCCUUAAAAAUAGGUUGUUUUGUUGCAAGUAAUUCCAGCCCCAGGGGGAAUAUGAAUAUCAAUUGGAAAACAAAAAUUAGGUCAAUCUUUACAAAAUUCCCUCGAGAUAUCAAUAUCUUUGGGAAAGUGGAAAGUCUAUUUUGCAGAUUUUGCCCAAUGAUUUUACCGAAAACGCCAUUUCGGACAGUAACCCACCAAAUGAAAGGGAAGAAAACGGCGCAAAGUUCUUGGUCAAUUUGACUCUCUCAACUCCCAAUUCUCCUCCAACUCCUUUUCUCAUCCUCUCCCUUCAUUUUCUUUUUCUUUUUCUUUUUCUUUUUUUGGCGCUAAUCUUCCUCUAAACCCUCUUAAAUUUCCCAUCAGCUCGAUUUCCGUUCUUCCGCUCAGUUGCUGUCAAGAACGUCAGGCAAACACCUCGCUCCAGCGAUUUAGGACGGAAAUUUCGUUGUUUUCAGAUUGAGCUAAGUUGCUUGAAUUUGAGGUAUUUGGCCGUUGAAAGCAUUUCAUUUCAUGGCAGGCAAUGGCCUGCCAUCAUUGGGUCGUGUGAAACUUACUGAUAUAGCACCAUCUGAAGGAGUUCCAUCUGAGUCUUUCAAAUUGUCAGUCUCAACUCUGUCACAUUCACUAGCUCAAUACUCUGCUGCCAUCAUUCAAUUCCCUGCUUGUGAUGGGGCUCUUUUAAGGUCUGGUUUAGAUUCUGCGCGUCUCUACUUCCACCAGAGAGCUGCAUGUUCAUCUGCUGAGUUGAUGCAAAGCAAUGAUUCACGAGAGUGGUGCAGAACUUCUGGUUACUAUGUGGAUGCUCAGAUGUGGCAAGAAACAUAUGACUAUAGGCCUGGAUUGACUCCAGUUGAGCCCAGCAAUGGAAUGGAGUUACCACCUGCAGGUUUGCCAGACAUAUUUGCCCUCUAUGGAAAGGCAUCUCGAAUUAUUUUGGAUGCCAUCAGCUUCUAUCUAAACUUGCGGAGCUCUCCUUUCACGGAAAUACUUGAUAAUGUUCCUCUAAGAAGUAGGGAGAUAUCAUCUUCUGUGUUGUCUGUGUGCUGUUAUGGGAGACCCUCAUUUCACGGAGAGCAUCACCAUAAGUUAACUGCUCAAGAGGAUAGCCAGUUGGCCAUGUAUACGUCAGACCAUGACAAUCAAAUUGAUAAAAGUCUUAUUACUCUGUUCAAGGCGGAUAAGGCAGGUUUACUAAUAAAGGAUUUCAAUGGUAGAUGGAUUCUUGUGGAUGGGGAUCUUGGCCCUCAAGAUGCUAUAGUUUAUCCUGGACUUGCACUCUAUCAAGCAACCGCAGGAUAUGUGAAUCCUGCUUUGCUCAGAACAGAUGUGAAUAAUAUUCAAGGUAGUAUGUAUGGACGGUGUUCCUUGUCAUUCAAACUCAUGCCUAAAUCUAUGACUAGCCUCAGUUGUUCAGAAAUGAGAGCUGCUGGCCAUGGGGUAGAUGUUCAGUUCCAGCUUCCAGUACCAGUGGAUGACUUUAUGCAGAGAUCACACUCAACUGACCAACUCUUUAAUCGCCCAAAUUUUCAGAAUUUCAGUUUCUCUACAUCCCAAGAUGGAUCCAUAAAAAUGAGGAGGAGAAAGAAUAAUUCAAGUACCAAACCUCUACCCCCUUCUAAGAGAUUACGGCUUGAGGCACAGAGAGUUCUGAAGGAGAAAGUACAAGAUAUUGCAGAUAAGAAGGGUAUCAAAUUGAGGUUCUGUAAUCUGAAGGAUUGUGAGAGUCACAUUCACACAUUAGAUAGCCCUUGUGCCAGCACAAGAAUGGAGAUUGGGUGGCCUCCUGGAGUGCCAUUUGUUCAUCCUCACGACCUACCUAAUAAGGCAAAAAUUGGUUUUCUCGAAGCUUACGAGCCUGGUUGGACAGAUAGUCAUGACGUUGAAUUGAGUCUUACUGAACCUGGACAAGUGGGUCAACAGUCAACCAACUGACUUGAGCUCGGGGAGGAUGAUUGAUACUGCAUGGUAUAGUAGGGGACCUAUCUCCUUAAUGAUGAUACCUCCGGUAGAAUCAGUUCAUGUUCUGUACAUUGAUGGAUUCUCAACGCCUCGUAGCUUGCAACUUAAAAACCAGUUCCAUUCAUUCAUGGCGUUCAUCGGCUCAUCAUACCUGCACUCAGAUUGUUGUUUCAAUACCCAAUGCUGACAAAUCGUGCCUGUUCACGUCUCGAGCAAAGACUGUACAUAUGUAUUACUUUCUGGGUAAGCUAGUUUCAUCUUCAUCUCCUUUAACUAUUGGACACUUUCAUAUUAUUUGUUGGAGGACAACUCUUGAAGAAAGGGGUUUGUUAAGUUAGCUAACCAGUGAUGGCAAUGUAGUGGGAAGAACUAUUUCCUUUGAAUUCUAGUAGAGAUUUUUCUCAUGUUAGUCAUACCUUCAUGUUCCUAGACUAGUCCGUAUGAUGUGUAAAAUUUGGGAAAUACCAUAGAGAGCAGAAAUAUACAAACUUAAGAUUCCUGAAGAAGUAUUCCCUGUUUUCUUUCUGUUCCAUUCUUGAUGUUGUUUUACUUAUAUCGCGGAUCAUGACUUGAGCUCUUCACAUUACAUUAAACUAAUUUUUUUCCCAUUUGAAGCUUGA